Non-coding RNA from Hypoxylon trugodes, 84 nucleotides. The record is from the annotation of a RefSeq genome assembly. Lineage: Eukaryota; Fungi; Ascomycota; Sordariomycetes; Xylariales; Hypoxylaceae.
GAUGCCUUGGAGAAGUGGUAACUCGCUCCCUUUGGGUCACCACACACAUGGGAGAGAUCAGGGGUUCGAACCCCCUAGGCAUCC